RNAcentral lists this ribosomal RNA (466 nucleotides) under uncultured bacterium. Its description in RNAcentral is "partial 16S ribosomal RNA". It matches the Rfam family "Bacterial small subunit ribosomal RNA", at positions 28 to 507 of the family's 1533-position model. The record is from RNAcentral.
GAUGAACGCUGGCGGCGUGCUUAACACAUGCAAGUCGAACGGAAAGGCCAGUGCUUGCACUGGUACUCGAGUGGCGAACGGGUGAGUAACACGUGGGUGAUCUGCCCUGUACUUCGGGAUAAGCUUGGGAAACUGGGUCUAAUACCGGAUAGGACAACUUUUUGGAUAUUGUUGUGGAAAGCUUUUGCGGUAUGGGAUGAGCUCGCGGCCUAUCAGCUUGUUGGUGGGGUAAUGGCCUACCAAGGCGUCGACGGGUAACCGGCCUGAGAGGGUGUACGGCCACAUUGGGACUGAGAUACGGCCCAGACUCCUACGGGAGGCAGCAGUGGGGAAUAUUGCACAAUGGGCGCAAGCCUGAUGCAGCGACGCCGCGUGGGGGAUGAAGGCCUUCGGGUUGUAAACUCCUUUCGCUAGGGACGAAGCGUAAGUGACGGUACCUGGAGAAGAAGCACCGGCUAACUACGUG